Molecule: long non-coding RNA, 535 nt
Filed under: Pongo abelii (Sumatran orangutan)
Lineage: Eukaryota; Metazoa; Chordata; Mammalia; Primates; Hominidae
Description: lincRNA
Source: RNAcentral
AAAGAGUCCGGAUCUGGGGCUCCAUCAUCAGUCUCUAAGAGCGGCCCAGAGAUUCUCACGUUCCCUAGUCAUUUACCCACAUGCCUCAGCUGCAGAACCUGUCCUCAAGGUGCUCACAGGCUGAGGGAAGGCAGACAGAGGACAAGUGGCAACCUACAAAACACCAAAUGGGCUCCACACUCAACCAAGGUGCCCCUCAGCCAGAACUGGACACAUUGCCAGAGAACUCCAGGGGUCAUCUGGUUGGCUCAGCCUCCCGGUUUCCAACAGACAGUCACCAUAGGCUCACCUGAACUGUGAGAAGUAGAGGAAGGGGUCCCAGAGGAGUGCACCGAAGUCACCCAGCGGCCGAGUGAGAACUCCAGUCCAGCUUUCCACCCGCUACUCCGCGCAUCCCAGCUUGCCUUACAGCCGGGUACCGGCUCCACCAUUUUGCUAGAGAAUGCCGCGGAGGCUCAGAGAGGUGCGCACAUUUGCCCUGAGUCACACAGCGAAUGCCCUCCGCGGUCCCAACGCACAGAGAGCGAGCGGAUCG